Molecule: ribosomal RNA, 682 nt
Filed under: uncultured bacterium
Lineage: Bacteria
Description: bacterial SSU rRNA
Rfam family: Bacterial small subunit ribosomal RNA
Source: RNAcentral
GGACUUAAUUUGAAACCUAGUGAUAAUUAAGUGAGUGGCGGACGGGUGAGUAACGCGUGGAUAACCUGCCGUAUGCAGGGGGAUACCAACUGGAAACAGUUGCUAAUACCGCAUAAGCGCACGGUGUCGCAUGACACAGUGUGAAAAGGUUUAACGGCAUACGAUGGAUCCGCGUCCGAUUAGCCAGUUGGCGGGGUAACGGCCCACCAAAGCGACGAUCGGUAGCCGGCCUGAGAGGGCGGACGGCCACAUUGGGACUGAGACACGGCCCAAACUCCUACGGGAGGCAGCAGUGGGGAAUAUUGCACAAUGGGGGAAACCCUGAUGCAGCGACGCCGCGUGAGUGAAGAAGUAUUUCGGUAUGUAAAGCUCUAUCAGCAGGGAAGAAAGGUGCCCCUUGGGCGCCUGGACGGUACCUGACUAAGAAGCCCCGGCUAACUACGUGCCAGCAGCCGCGGUAAUACGUAGGGGGCAAGCGUUAUCCGGAUUUACUGGGUGUAAAGGGAGCGUAGACGGCAGAGCAAGUCCGGAGUGAAAGCCCGGGGCCCAACCCCGGGACUGCUCUGGAAACUGUUAAGCUGGAGUGCGGGAGGGGCAGGCGGAAUUCCUGGUGUAGCGGUGAAAUGCGUAGAUAUCAGGAGGAACACCGGCGGCGAAGGCGGCCUGCUGGACCGUGACUGAC